GAUGAACGCUGGCGGCGUGCCUAAUACAUGCAAGUCGAGCGAACAGACGAGGAGCUUGCUCCUCUGACGUUAGCGGCGGACGGGUGAGUAACACGUGGAUAACCUACCUAUAAGACUGGGAUAACUUCGGGAAACCGGAGCUAAUACCGGAUAAUAUAUUGAACCGCAUGGUUCAAUAGUGAAAGACGGUUUUGCUGUCACUUAUAGAUGGAUCCGCGCCGCAUUAGCUAGUUGGGAAGGUAACGGCUUACCAAGGCAACGAUGCGUAGCCGACCUGAGAGGGUGAUCGGCCACACUGGAACUGAGACACGGUCCAGACUCCUACGGGAGGCAGCAGUAGGGAAUCUUCCGCAAAGGGCGAAAGCCUGACGGAGCAACGCCGCGUGAGUGAUGAAGGUCUUCGGAUCGUAAAACUCUGUUAUUAGGGAAGAACAAAUGUGUAAGUAACUAUGCACGUCUUGACGGUACCUAAUCAGAAAGCCACGGCUAACUACGUG
This 497-nucleotide ribosomal RNA is filed under the name uncultured bacterium. RNAcentral describes it as "partial 16S ribosomal RNA". It matches the Rfam family "Bacterial small subunit ribosomal RNA", at positions 28 to 507 of the family's 1533-position model. The record is from RNAcentral.